RNAcentral lists this transfer RNA (68 nucleotides) under Anadara broughtonii. RNAcentral describes it as "tRNA-Thr". Lineage: Eukaryota; Metazoa; Mollusca; Bivalvia; Arcoida; Arcidae. RNAcentral also lists the same sequence under 1 other name. The record is from RNAcentral.
GUGCGGGUAGUCAAUUUAAGAAGAUGUCAGGCUUAGUAACCUAUAGUUCAAAAGUUUUUGUCCGCACU